RNAcentral lists this ribosomal RNA (292 nucleotides) under uncultured bacterium. RNAcentral describes it as "partial 16S ribosomal RNA". It matches the Rfam family "Bacterial small subunit ribosomal RNA", at positions 399 to 691 of the family's 1533-position model. The record is from RNAcentral.
GCGUGGGUGAUGAAGCUCUGAGGAGUGUAAAACCCUGUUAGAAGGGAAGAAUCUUCCGACUUGUCGGAAUUGACGGUACCUUCAGAGAAAGCUCCGGCUAACUCCGUGCCAGCAGCCGCGGUAACACGGGGGGAGCAAGCGUUGUCCGGAUUUACUGGGCGUAAAGCGCGUGUAGGCGGGACUAUAAGUCGGUGGUGAAAUCUUUCGGCUCAACCGGAAACCUGCCACCGAUACUAUUGUCCUUGAGUGCGGAAGAGGGAAGUGGAAUUCCAGGUGUAGCGGUGAAAUGCGU